RNAcentral lists this ribosomal RNA (478 nucleotides) under uncultured bacterium. Its description in RNAcentral is "partial 16S ribosomal RNA". It matches the Rfam family "Bacterial small subunit ribosomal RNA", at positions 28 to 507 of the family's 1533-position model. The record is from RNAcentral.
GACGAACGCUGGCGGCGUGCUUAACACAUGCAAGUCGAACGGGAUUUCGUAAACGGAAGCCUCGGUGGAAGAUUACUAAUGAGAGUGGCGAACGGGUGAGUAACGCGUGAGCAACCUGCCUAUGACAGUGGGAUAGCCUCGGGAAACCGGGAUUAAUACCGCAUAAAAUCGUAGAAACACAUGUUUCAACGGUCAAAGAUUUAUCGGUCAUAGAUGGGCUCGCGUCUGAUUAGCUAGUUGGUGAGAUAACAGCCCACCAAGGCGACGAUCAGUAGCCGGUGAGGGAGAAAGAAGGCACAAAGGGGAAGUGAGACCGGACCAAACCACUACGGGGGGGAGGAGGGGGGAAAUAGAGCAAAGGGGGGAAACCCCGGAGACGGCGACGCGGGGAAAAGAAAAAAGUUAUUGGUAGAAAAAAUUUUUUUCUAAGGGAAAGAAAAUAAAAGUACAAAAGAAAAAAGCCCCGCCAAAACCCGUC